This 253-nucleotide ribosomal RNA is filed under the name uncultured bacterium. RNAcentral describes it as "partial 16S ribosomal RNA". It matches the Rfam family "Bacterial small subunit ribosomal RNA", at positions 524 to 776 of the family's 1533-position model. The record is from RNAcentral.
UACGGAGGGUGCAAGCGUUGUCCGGAUUUAUUGGGUUUAAAGGGUGCGUAGGCGGCCCAUUAAGUCAGCGGUGAAAGCCCGGGGCUCAACCCCGGAACCGCCGUUGAUACUGGUGGGCUUGAGUAUGGACGAGGUUGGCGGAAUUGAGGGUGUAGCGGUGAAAUGCUUAGAUACCAUCCAGAACACCGAUUGCGUAGGCAGCUUACUAGGCUGUAACUGACGCUGAGGCACGAAAGCGUGGGGAGCGAACAGG